Molecule: ribosomal RNA, 2064 nt
Filed under: Triticum aestivum (bread wheat)
Lineage: Eukaryota; Viridiplantae; Streptophyta; Magnoliopsida; Poales; Poaceae
Description: partial small subunit ribosomal RNA
Source: RNAcentral
AUGAAAGAAGAAGAAGAAGAAGAUGAAGAGAGGAAGAGAAGAACAAAAUCAAGGGACGAUGAACUCCAACAGCAGGAUGGUGUCAACAACCCCAAAAACACGAAUGAACGGAACAAACAAAGCAACCUCACAACAGAUAAUGCUACAACAACAACUACCCCAACACAAGCACAAGAUACGAUCGACGUCAGAACCUGUGAAGAGGCUCAGCUGAAGAACAAUCAAGUCAGCAGCCCCGCCAACCAAAUGCAAGAGGCUAACCCACAAUCAACCGUUAGCAUAACAAACAACAAAGAAGAAGAAAACAACGAAGAGGAGGUAUCACAAGCACUGCAAGACCAAGAGACAACCCGUGUUGAAAUUGAACCCCAUAGUGAACCUCAAACAGACGAAGGCGUCAUAGAACAGGAACUUUGUGUACAAGAGAUUUCCAGCGCCACAACAUUGCAGAUCACCAUCACGAGUACAAAGGAGAAAGCGCAAGACAUCCCAGCCGAUGAGAAACAAGAGACUGUUAUACCUGACAAAGAAACAGUAGAUGCAGGCACAAAUAACCCAGUCAUCAACACGGAGGAAACAAACGAGUACGCUGAUCUCGAAGAUCAAGAACUUCAAACAACAACAUCUGAAGAGGUGAGGUUACAAAGCUCAGACACAAAUGAAGUUCAAUCUAUAAUUUCAAUUUUUAUUAAACAGGAAGAGGAAGCAAGCAAAAGCACUGGCAUAGACAUUCAACAAGAAAAACUAGAGGACAACACGAGACAAGGAGAAGCCGUAGUACAAGCAGUAGACAGUCCUGCAACUCCAGAGAUAGAGGGACAAGAAGCUCAAGAAACGAUCAACAAUCAAGACCAUCAAACACAACCAGAGGAGCCCAAUGAACAAUCCGAACAUGUUCUUCAAACGAUAGACAAUAAUGCCACUGAAGACCAAGCCACAAAAAAUUCACUCACCAAACAACAGGUACCAGAGACAGCGGCAGCGUCAACGACUGAAAAGCUAGAGGAGACCAAUGAGCAAAAGGAGGACACUGAAGAAGGGCAACAUGUUCUUCAAAAGGCAGUCAUCAACGUAACAGAAGACCAAGCCCCAGAAUAUUCACUCACCGAAAAACAUGCAGCAGAGACGGCAGCAGCAACAACGACUGAAAAGCUACAAGACAAAAACGACGGCAGCGGCGAUGAACUACAAAAGAAAGAAGAAGAUGCCCAAAAACCUCCACUCAACGAAGAACAAGCACAACAUUCAGCAGCAACGAUUGAGGAGAAACACGAAGAAGGUGACCACGGAGAUACAAAGGUCAGUGCCAACCAGGUCGAGACUGAAAAACAAGACAGAAAAGACCACCAGCAAGACACGACGGUUGACAAGGAAAAACAUGAUGCUAAGAAAGACACAGACGACUCAAAUGAGGAUGCAGCAAAAAUUGAACAAAAGGGCACAAUGGAGAAAGGGGACAAAGAUAGUGAUUCCGUCAACAAAGCCAUCGAAGACCUGUACAACGCUGUAUGCAAGCCAUGGACACAGAGAGAAAUGGAUGAGCUUUUCAUUACAACGAACAAGUUUGAUGUCAAUCUAGGCCAUGUCGCCGAAAGCUUCAAGGUCGGUAAAUCAGUAUGCACCGAAGCAAUCGAGCCCAUGCUAACAAUCUUGAGAAAACAACUAAAUGGCACAGGGAAAAAGAUUCUGUCGUUAAGCAACACUUUCCUUCUACCAUGUUCGUUGCGCGGGUUUGAGCAAGACGAAAAUACAAGUCAUUACUUCACCAUUACAGUUAACAUGCAAAAACAGCGAUUUGAACUCCUUGACUCUUCAACUGCAUAUUCAGGCACAAUAGAAUUCUUCAACAAUGUAACCAGCAAAUUAAUGAAAAUAUGGAAGCACGUAAGCACAGAGCUACAGCUUUCACAAAAAAGCAUCGACCAUUUCAAAAGGGUCAAACUGCAGGUGCCACUUGAAGGAGAAGACACAAUGGACUACGCAUUCUAUAUGUACAUGAACCUGAAGCACUACUCCAAUGAUGGAACAACAGCAAACUUAGAGCCAGAACAAGUCCAGAGUUGA